CUGCAAACAGAGCACACAAGAAGCACAGGAAGCAUGGUCACUGUGAAAUUUCAGGCGAUUAUGAGAGAAGGAAAGAGAAGAAAUCCAAGCGAAGGCCAAACAAGCGCCUCUCAAGAUUGGACGAUGAUAUCAGUAGUGAUGACUAUGAGAGUGGGUCUGAGGAAGAUCUUAGGAAGAAGCGAUUUCACAAGAGGAGGCAUAGGCACCCUAGUUCAAGGUCUGAUGCAGAUUGAAGUGAUUCAGAAUCAGAGU
Telopea speciosissima is the source of this 252-nucleotide long non-coding RNA. RefSeq lists it as uncharacterized. The record is from RefSeq and is a predicted model, not a curated record. NCBI's taxonomy places the organism in Eukaryota, Viridiplantae, Streptophyta, Magnoliopsida, Proteales, Proteaceae. The transcript is spliced from 3 exons.